This 440-nucleotide ribosomal RNA is filed under the name uncultured bacterium. RNAcentral's name for it is "partial 16S ribosomal RNA". It matches the Rfam family "Bacterial small subunit ribosomal RNA", at positions 338 to 795 of the family's 1533-position model. The record is from RNAcentral.
CCUACGGGCGACAGCAGUGGGGAAUAUUGGACAAUGGGGGGAACCCUGAUCCAGCGACGCCGCGUGAGUGAAGAAGUAUUUCGGUAUGUAAAGCUCUAUCAGCAGGGAAGAAAAUGACGGUACCUGACUAAGAAGCCCCGGCUAACUACGUGCCAGCAGCCGCGGUAAUACGUAGGGGGCAAGCGUUAUCCGGAUUUACUGGGUGUAAAGGGAGCGUAGACGGGGCAGCAAGUCUGAUGUGAAAGGUCGGGGCCCAACCCCGGGACUGCAUUGGAAACUGUGUAACUGGAGUACAGGAGGGGCAGGCGGAAUUCCUGGUGUAGCGGUGAAAUGCGUAGAUAUCAGGAGGAACACCGGCGGCGAAGGCGGCCUGCUGGACUGAAACUGACGUUGAGGCUCGAAAGCGUGGGGAGCAAACAGGAUUAGAUACCCGGGUAGUC